RNAcentral lists this transfer RNA (74 nucleotides) under Elusimicrobia bacterium RIFOXYB2_FULL_48_7. RNAcentral describes it as "tRNA-Val". It matches the Rfam family "tRNA". From Rfam's summary of the family: Transfer RNA (tRNA) molecules are approximately 80 nucleotides in length. Lineage: Bacteria; Pseudomonadati; Elusimicrobiota. The record is from RNAcentral.
GGACGGUUAGCUCAACUGGUUAGAGCGUACGGUUCACAUCCGUAAGGUCACAAGUUCAAAUCUUGUACCGUCCA